UACAGAGGGUGCGAGCGUUGUCCGGAAUCACUGGGCGUAAAGGGCGCGUAGGUGGCUGUGUAAGCGUGCGGUGAAAGCCCGGGGCUCAACCCCGGGUCGGCCGUGCGGACUGCGCAGCUCGAGCAGAGUAGAGGCACGUGGAAUUCCGGGUGUAGCGGUGGAAUGCGUAGAGAUCCGGAAGAACACCGGUGGCGAAGGCGGCGUGCUGGGCUCUUGCUGACACUGAGGCGCGACAGCGUGGGGAGCAAAC
RNAcentral lists this ribosomal RNA (250 nucleotides) under uncultured bacterium. Its description in RNAcentral is "partial 16S ribosomal RNA". It matches the Rfam family "Bacterial small subunit ribosomal RNA", at positions 524 to 773 of the family's 1533-position model. The record is from RNAcentral.